Molecule: transfer-messenger RNA, 349 nt
Filed under: Brevundimonas sp.
Lineage: Bacteria; Pseudomonadati; Pseudomonadota; Alphaproteobacteria; Caulobacterales; Caulobacteraceae
Rfam family: Alphaproteobacteria transfer-messenger RNA
About the family: Bacterial tmRNA, also known as 10Sa RNA or SsrA, is named for its dual tRNA and mRNA-like properties. Its role is to liberate the mRNA from a stalled ribosome.
Source: RNAcentral
GCCCUUUUCAUUUGGGGACGGGUUUCCUCUAUGCGGGUCUGCCGGGUUCGCCCGGCUAUGGCGAUAAACUGCGGCGUGCAAUAGGCGCAGCGGACCCGGGGGCGGUACCCGGCGGCUCCACCACCUUUCCCGUUCCGGCGGGGAACAUGACGGGGCCGAACUAGGAUCGACGUGUGUUGAAAAGCGCUGUUUUCGCCCGGGCUGAGUAACCCGUUAAAGGCUCAAAACUCACAAGUGCCAACGAUAACGAAGCACUUGCUCUUGCUGCGUAAUUCUAGGGCCUAGCGGCCUGAAGUUACACUACCAAGAACGGGGUCCGGGGCGUACCUUGCAACAGAAACGCCCCACU